Camelus dromedarius (Arabian camel) is the source of this 164-nucleotide small nuclear RNA. Its record names the gene U1. It matches the Rfam family "U1 spliceosomal RNA". Rfam says of the family: U1 is a small nuclear RNA (snRNA) component of the spliceosome (involved in pre-mRNA splicing). The record is from Ensembl. Lineage: Eukaryota; Metazoa; Chordata; Mammalia; Artiodactyla; Camelidae.
AUACUUGCCUGGCAGGGGAGAUGCCAUGAUCAGGAAGGUGGUUUUCCCAGGGCGAGGCUUACCCAUUGUGCUCUGGAUGUGCUGAACCCUGCGAUUUCCCCAAACGUGGGAAGCUCAGCUGUAUAAUUUGUGAUAGUGGGGGACUGUGUUCGAGCUUUCCCCAG